AUUGAACGCUGGCGGCAUGCUUUACACAUGCAAGUCGAACGGUAACAGGCCUUCGGGUGCUGACGAGUGGCGAACGGGUGAGUAAUGCAUCGGAACGUGCCCAAUCGUGGGGGAUAACGUAGCGAAAGUUACGCUAAUACCGCAUAAGCCCUGAGGGGGAAAGUGGGGGACCGCAAGGCCUCACGCGAAUGGAGCGGCCGAUGUCAGAUUAGCUAGUUGGUGAGGUAAAGGCUCACCAAGGCGACGAUCUGUAGCGGGUCUGAGAGGAUGAUCCGCCACACUGGAACUGAGACACGGUCCAGACUCCUACGGGAGGCAGCAGUGGGGAAUUUUGGACAAUGGGCGCAAGCCUGAACCAGCCAUGCCGCGUGAGUGAAGAAGGCCUCGGUU
This 390-nucleotide ribosomal RNA is filed under the name uncultured bacterium. Its description in RNAcentral is "bacterial SSU rRNA". It matches the Rfam family "Bacterial small subunit ribosomal RNA", at positions 30 to 424 of the family's 1533-position model. The record is from RNAcentral.